GAUCAAUUUAUUGGUUUCAUUCCCCCUAGUAAUAAUGAUCCAUUUGCAGUGACGAUGACAAUCAAAGUUUAGGGCAAGAAAUAUAGAAGAUAAAGAAAAAUAUAAACAAUUACAACUGUACAGUAGAAAUGAUCGGCAAAACAAGAUAAACAGAAGACAACAAGGCCUAAAUGGUGCAGAGACUUCUUGGUUUUCAUGAUCAUCAACAGAUCAAUACAGAAGAGGAAACUUAAGGUUAAUACUUUUCUACAUUGUGUGCUAAUUGGAUUAAUGUGAAAUGAAAUGUGUGCUUACCUGGAAAAAGAAAAUAGGAAAUUUCUACAAAAUGGCUGUAAACAAAAUGGAGUACAAUCAUAGAUGCACAAGAACACAAUUGUGUAAUUGCAACAACCUACACUGAAGGAUUAGGGAGAAAUGUAGAAAAAAUAGUAUUUUUUUUGUCGAAAUAAACACCAGCUUUAUCCAUUCAUGUACAUAGCUCUGUCAUAUCAACUAUAUAGAGGAAGAUGUUUGAAGAACAAAUUGCAAAAAUGUAUUCUCUACCAAUUGAAGGAAGAUGUCUGGUGGAUGGAAUUAUUUAUGCACUGAACUGUUUUGUAGGGGAUUGAAUAAUUGUACGCAGCAGAAAAGUUAAAUUAACAUGAAAAGUGGUUAUUUUAUUUAAUCUGCAAAUAUGAGCACAAUAUUGAUAACAUCACAAAUAGUAUGAUAUUCAUAGCGUUUUGCUUAUUAUUGUAUUGUCUCAAACAGCUAGCCUAUUGUUUUUGUAUGUCAUGUUACUCAUCAGUGAACAUUUUAUUAAAGUUUUAAUUAUC
This is a long non-coding RNA of Mytilus californianus (California mussel), 815 nucleotides long. RefSeq lists it as uncharacterized. NCBI's taxonomy places the organism in Eukaryota, Metazoa, Mollusca, Bivalvia, Mytilida, Mytilidae. The transcript is spliced from 3 exons. The record is from RefSeq and is a predicted model, not a curated record.